GACGAACGCUGGCGGCGUGCUUAACACAUGCAAGUCGAACGAAGAGCGAUGGAAGCUUGCUUCUAUCAAUCUUAGUGGCGCACGGGUGAGUAACGCGUAAUCAACCUGCCCUUCAGAGGGGGACAACAGUUGGAAACGACUGCUAAUACCGCAUACGAUCUAAUCUCGGCAUCGAGGAUAGAUGAAAGGUGGCCUCUACAUGUAAGCUAUCACUGAAGGAGGGGAUUGCGUCUGAUUAGCUAGUUGGAGGGGUAACGGCCCACCAAGGCGAUGAUCAGUAGACGGUCUGAGAGGAUGAACGGCCACAUUGGGACUGAGACACGGCCCAGACUCCUACGGGAGGCAGCAGUGGGGAAUCUUCCGCAAUGGACGAAAGUCUGACGGAGCAACGCCGCGUGAGCGAUGACGGCCUUCGGGUUGUAAAGCUCUGUUAAUCGGGACGAAAGGCCUUCUUGCGAAUAGUGAGAAGGAUUGACGGUACCGGAAUAGAAAGCCACGGCUAACUACGUG
This 510-nucleotide ribosomal RNA is filed under the name uncultured bacterium. RNAcentral describes it as "partial 16S ribosomal RNA". It matches the Rfam family "Bacterial small subunit ribosomal RNA", at positions 28 to 507 of the family's 1533-position model. The record is from RNAcentral.